CCCCCCCCCCCCCCCCCCCCCCCCCCCCCCCCCCCCCCCCCCCCCCCCCCCCCCCCCCCCCCCCCCCCCCCCCCCCCCCCCCCCCCCCCCCCCCCCCCCCCCCCCCCCUUGCCCGGGCCAUUUAUACGGUGCUUUGCCCGGGUUAGGAGUACACUGACAUACCGAAGAGGAGGCCUCCAGGGCAAUAAAGCCAUCAGGAUCUCGUAACCACUGCACACAUGCACGUACGAGUCCCUGCAUUCAUCCUGGGAGCGGCUGCGCAGCUGAAGCAGGAUCUCCUGCGCCUGGGCUCGGUUUUGCUGCUGCUCCAGGACAGCUUUUUAUGAGCAGAAUUGAGGAUCACUGACUGACUGCUUAACAUAAGCUACUUGCCUCUGAAAUUACUGUACUCCAGCCUGCCACUGUCCUGCCUGCAGUUUUUCUGUCUAAAAAACUGAGGUGAACUGAGACUAAAUAGCUUUUAAUGAUAUAUGUGAAGUUACUUUUAAAAAGGAUUUUUUAACUCAUCACCAUCAUUUUUAGGUAACCAGAUAAAGACACAAUGCAAGAACAUCAUGCUUGUCUGAUGUAUAGGCCUAUGUAACAGAACUCCCAUUGGUUUAAAAAAAAAAAAUCUAAUUCUUCCCAAGCACCAUCAUGUUUUCAGGUCUUUGGCAAGUUUUUCCUUGCUGUCAGGCAGCUGGCAGUUUCUGAACUGCUCAGGCAAUUCCUAACAACUUGCAGACUUUUACAAGUCGGAUCUUUUCAGUGUACCCAGUAAGAUAAAUAAAAGAUAAACAACACUCCUCCCCACAGAUUAUAAAACACUUUGAAAGUGUUGUUGGUUUGUUUCCUUUGUGGUUCCACUUGAAAUCAUGGCCCAGCCCUUUUCUCACUUGCUAUCUUUUGUGAAAUCAAAUUGAGGAAACCUAAAAGCCUGCUAAAGCAGACUUUGUAAGAUGUACUUCUGUACAAAAGGUGGACCCAUAAAAAUCAGUCCCUCCAUAUUUCAUUUAUGUAAAUGUCAUGAACGUAUGUUAGAACAGGUUAUGAUAACUUAGGGCAGUAUCAAUCAACCAGGGAGUGCUUUUGUAUAGGCCAUGUGACAUCAAUGAAGUGAAAGUAGUGUAUAUGUUUAUGUAGGCUCUGUUUGAUGUAAUACUACAACUCAUCUACCAAUCUCCAUCUCUGACCCUGACCUUGCUUUAAAGAACACAAACAGAUAAGAGUCAGGAGGUUAAAAACAUUCAUGAUGUAAAGUUGUGUUUACUAAAGACUUGAUGGUAAUUUUUAGGUGUUACAACUGUUGACUCCUAGCUUGAACCACUUGUCCAAAGACACCACAUGAAUCCUAGGCAAGGGUUACUUUUUCUGCAGGAUUUUCCCAUUAGUUUCUCAAUAGUUCUUAGCCAAUAACCUCACUUUGAAUGAUAAAUAAAGUUUGGGAUUUCAUUUUUAUUU
Molecule: long non-coding RNA, 1440 nt
Filed under: Ficedula albicollis (Collared flycatcher)
Lineage: Eukaryota; Metazoa; Chordata; Aves; Passeriformes; Muscicapidae
Description: lncRNA (ENSFALG00000026989.1)
Source: RNAcentral